Molecule: ribosomal RNA, 276 nt
Filed under: uncultured prokaryote
Description: partial 16S ribosomal RNA
Rfam family: Bacterial small subunit ribosomal RNA
Source: RNAcentral
UACGUAGGGGCAAGCGUUGUCCGGAAUUACUGGGCGUAAAGCGCACGCAGGCUGAAUUAUAAGUCGGUAGUAAAAGGCGGGGGCUCAACUUCCGUAUAUCUAUCGAUACUGUAAAUCUGGAGUAUGUGAGAGGGAAGCGGAAUUCCCGGUGUAGUGGUGAUAUGCGUAGAUAUCGGGAGGAACACCAGUGGCGAAGGCGGCUUUCUGGGCAUUUCCUGACGCUGAGACGCGAAAGCGUGGGUAGCGAACCGGAUUAGAUACCCGUGUAGUCCCUGA